Melopsittacus undulatus (budgerigar) is the source of this 194-nucleotide long non-coding RNA. RefSeq lists it as uncharacterized. Lineage: Eukaryota; Metazoa; Chordata; Aves; Psittaciformes; Psittaculidae. The record is from RefSeq and is a predicted model, not a curated record. The transcript has 3 exons.
GUUUUGUUUGGAAUGAAACAGAAGGAUACAGCAUACUUACAGUUCACAGCUUGUUCUGGCACCUGGGCAGUGCAUGGUACUGUCUGUCCUCGGAGGACCUUUUGGAGAGGGGAGAAUCAAAAAAGCCCAUUCAGCUUAUCUGAAGAAGAUGAGAUGUGAUGUUUUCAAUUAACAACAUGGGAAUAACACUUACA